GAGACUGCCAGUGAUAAACUGGAGGAAGGUGGGGAUGACGUCAAGUCAUCAUGGCCCUUACGACCAGGGCUACACACGUGCUACAAUGGCGCAUACAAAGAGAAGCGACCUCGCGAGAGCAAGCGGACCUCAUAAAGUGCGUCGUAGUCCGGAUUGGAGUCUGCAACUCGACUCCAUGAAGUCGGAAUCGCUAGUAAUCGUGGAUCAGAAUGCCACGGUGAAUACGUUCCCGGGCCUUGUACACACCGCCCGUCACACCAUGGGAGUGGGUUGCAAAAGAAGUAGGUAGCUUAACCUUCGGGAGGGCGCUUACCACUUUGUGAUUCAUGACUGGGGUGAAGUCGUAACAAGGUAACCGUAGGGGAACCUGCGGUUGGAUCACCUCCUUACCUUAAAGAAGC
Molecule: ribosomal RNA, 401 nt
Filed under: Escherichia coli
Lineage: Bacteria; Pseudomonadati; Pseudomonadota; Gammaproteobacteria; Enterobacterales; Enterobacteriaceae
Also listed under: 2 other names
Description: bacterial SSU rRNA
Rfam family: Bacterial small subunit ribosomal RNA
Source: RNAcentral